AAAAUGAUUUUGGAAAAAAAUGGUGAAAUUUUGGAUUCUGGGGGUAUUUUUGAAAAGAAAAUCGAAAAUCGGAGGUCAAAACGCAAUUUAGAAAAAUUGCGCCACGUCAGCAGCCACGUCAGCAGCCGGUCAGCAGCACUGGCCAACCAGAACACGCCGCGUGGCAGGGACGCUGACGCGGGACAGAGCUACAUGGGUGAUCCACGUGCACGAGAUCGGACGGCCCAGAUUGAAUCACGCACGGACGGCCCAGAUUA
This 257-nucleotide long non-coding RNA is filed under the name Carica papaya (papaya). RNAcentral describes it as "long non-coding RNA (CPAP_LNC000628)". Lineage: Eukaryota; Viridiplantae; Streptophyta; Magnoliopsida; Brassicales; Caricaceae. The record is from RNAcentral.